AUGUUGUUGAUGCCUCAAGGUUUUGUCGAGCGAACAAUUCUUCGGCCCGUUCUUAAACUUUUGAUGGAAAGUCUUUGUUUUACCUACAUUUCUAAAGAAAAGGAGUUUGUUUCAUGGCAGAUGAAGGACUAUGCAGUUCAAGAGUCUUGGACUGAAUUAUUUAAGAUUAUACUUCUCGGAACUCUCAAAUGGAUUCCUUUUAUGACGAUUUUCAAAUGGCGUACCUUUAUCAAAAUGAUGAUAUUGUGA
Non-coding RNA from Vicia faba (fava bean), 249 nucleotides. NCBI's taxonomy places the organism in Eukaryota, Viridiplantae, Streptophyta, Magnoliopsida, Fabales, Fabaceae. The record is from the annotation of a GenBank genome assembly.